AACGAACGCUGGCGGCAUGCCCAACACAUGCAAGUCGAACGAGACCUUCGGGUCUAGUGGCGCACGGGUGCGUAACGCGUGGGAACCUGCCCUUAGGUUCGGAAUAACUCCCCGAAAGGGGUGCUAAUACCGGAUAAUGUCUUCGGACCAAAGAUUUAUCGCCUUUGGAUGGGCCCGCGUUGGAUUAGCUAGUUGGUAGGGUAAAAGCCUACCAAGGCGACGAUCCAUAGCUGGUCUGAGAGGAUGAUCAGCCACACUGGGACUGAGACACGGCCCAGACUCCUACGGGAAGCAGCAGUGGGGAAUAUUGGACAAUGGGCGAAAGCCUGAUCCAGCAAUGCCGCGUGAGUGAUGAAGGCCUUAGGGUUGUAAAGCUCUUUUACCCGGGAUGAUAAUGACAGUACCGGGAGAAUAAGCUCCGGCUAACUCCGCG
This 433-nucleotide ribosomal RNA is filed under the name uncultured bacterium. RNAcentral's name for it is "partial 16S ribosomal RNA". It matches the Rfam family "Bacterial small subunit ribosomal RNA", at positions 29 to 507 of the family's 1533-position model. The record is from RNAcentral.